UUUUUUUUCCUUAUCUAACUGCCAUGGUUAGGAUUUCCACUACUAUGUUGACUAAAAGUGGUCAGAGUGCACAUCCUUGUUUUGUUCCUAAUCUUAGAGGAAAAGCUUUUGGCUUUUUACCAUUGAGUAUGAUGUUAGUUUGGGUUUGUCAUAUAUAGUCUUUAUUAUGUUAAUGUAUAGUCUGCCUAUAGCCAGUUUGUUAAGUUUUCACAUGGAUGCUGAAUUUUGUCAAAUGUUUUUUUAUCCAUCUAUUGAGAUAACCAUAUGAUUCUAUCCUUCAUUUUUAAUGUGAUGUAUCACAUUGACUGAUUUGUGGAUAAUAAAACAUCCUUAUGUCCCUAAAAUAAAUCCCACUUAAUCAUGGUACAUAGUCCUUUUAAUAUAUUGUUGGAUUUGGUUAACUAAUGCUUUGUUGAGAAUUUUUACACUUAUGUUCAUCAAGAAUAUUGGCAUGUAAUUUUCUUUUCUGUGCAAUUUCCUUGUCUGGUUUUUGUAACCUAAAACAAAAGUUUCCCUCCUCUUAAGUUUUCUGGAAUAGUUUGAGAAGAACAGGUAUUAAAUCUGUGACUGUUUUACAAAAUUAAAGAAGACACUGUCUGGUCUGUAAUUUCUGUUUGUUGAAAGGCUUUUGUUUACUGUUUCAAUGUUCUUACUAGUAAUGAGUCUAUCCAGAGUUUCUAUUUCUUCAUGAUUCAGUCUUGAAAGAUUGUAUGUUUCUCUAGGAAUUUAACCAUUUCUUCUAUGUUGUCCAAUUCAUUGGCAUAUAAUUUCACAUAGUAGUCUCCUAUGAACGUUUGCCUUUCUGUGAUAUAAGCUGUAACUUCUCUUUCUGAUUUUGAGUCCCCUUUCUUUUCUCCUUAGUCAGUCUAGCUAAAGGUUUGCUGACUUUGUUUAUCAUUUCAAAGAACCAGCUCUUAGAUUCAUUGGUCUUUUCUUCCAUUUUUGUUUUUGGGUUGUUUUUUUUUUUUUAAUUUUAUGUUUCAUUUAUUCCUGCCCUGGUCUGUACUAUUUCCUUCCUUCUACUAAUUUGGGGCUGCAUUUGUUCUUCUGUUUCUAGUUUCUUUCAGUGUAAAGUUAGAUUGUUUGAGAUUUUUUUGUUUCUUGAAGUAGGCCUGUAUUGCUAUGGUCUUCUGUCCAUUUUUUAUUAGGUUUUUUUUUUUUUGAUAUAAAGCUCCAUGAGAUGUUUGUACAUUCUGGAAGUUAAUCCCUUGUCAGUCCCUUCAUUUGCAAAUAUUUUCUCCCAUUCUGUGGGGUUGUUUUUUCAUUUUUGUUUUUGUUUCUAUGCUCUCCUUUGCUAUGCAAAGCUUUUGAGUUUAAUUAGGUCCCACUUGUUUUAUUUUCAUUACUCUAGGAGAUGGAUCCAAAAGAUUACUGCUGUGAUUUAUGUCAAAAAGAGGGUUCUACCUAUAUUUUCCUCAAGAGUUUUAUAGCAUGUGACCUUUCAUUUAGGUCUUUAAUCCAUUUUGAGUUUAUUUUUAUGCAUGGUAUGAAAGAAUGUUCUAAUUUCAUUCUUUUGUUUGCUUUUUGUUUUUUCUUUUUACAGCUAUACCUGCAGCAUAUGGGAGUUCCCAGGCUAGGGGCUGAAUCAGAGCUGCAGCUGAAGUCUACGACACAGCCAUGGCUACACCAGAUCCAAGCCACAUCUGUGACCUAAGCUGAAGCUUAUGGCAACACCAGAUUCUUAACCCACUGAGUGAGGUCAGGGAUUGAACCCUCAACCUCAGANGAAUUUUUUUAAUUUUUUUUUUUUUUUUUUUUUUUUUUUUUUUUUUUGCUUUUUAGGGCUGCAGCAUGUGGAAAUUCCCAGGCUAGGGAUCAAAUCAAAGCUGCAGUUGCCAGCCUACACCGCAGCCACAGCAAUGCCAGAUCCGAGCUACAUCUGUGACCUGCACCAUAGCUCACAGCAAUGCCAGAACCUUAACCCACUGAGUGAGGCCAGGGAUCGAACUCUCAUCUAUAUAAUACUAGCCCAGAUUCGUUUCCUCUGUGCCACUAUGGGAACUUCCAAUUUCAUUCUUUUACAUACCACUGUCCAGUUUUCCCAGCACCACCCAUUGAAGAGGAUCUCUUUUCUCCACUGUAUAUUCUUGCCUCUGUUGUUGUACAUUAAUUGACCAUAAGUGGGUGGGUUUAUUUUUUGGCUUUCUAUCCUAUUUCACUGACCUAUAUAACCAUUUUUGUACCAGCACUAUACUGUUUUGUUUACUGUAGCUUUGAAGUAUAGUAUGAAGUUCUGAAGCCUGAUUCCUCCAGCUCUGUUUUUCUUUCUCAAGAUUGUUUUGGCUAUUUGGGGUCUUGUGUUUCCACACAAAUUUCAAAAUUUUUGUUCUAGUUCUGUGGAAAAUGGCAUUGGUAAUUUAACAGGGGUUGCACUGAAUUUGUAGAUUGCCUUGGGUAACUAUAGCCAUUUUGACAUUUGGCCUCUUUUGAUUGCAGAAUUUAGUCUAUUUGUAUUCAAAGUAAUUACUGAUAAGUACAUACUUCCUCCAUUUUUUUAAAUGUUUUCUGGCUGUAUUUGAAGUUCUUUUCUGUUCCUUUUUUCUUCUUUCUCUCUUCUCUUGUGCUUUGAUGAUUUUUCUCUAGGGCUAUGCUUUAUUUCUUUCUAUUUUCAUUAGUGUAUUUACUAUAAGAUUUUUCCCUGUGUUUACUGUGAUGUUCACAUAUAACAUCCUAUUUAAAUAGUAGUGUUAAAUUUGAAUGCAUUCCAAAGUUUUAUCUUUUUACUCCCCCCAACAUUUUAUAUAUCCAUUGAUAUAUUUUACAUCUUUUUAUUUUAUACAUCCCUUAACUACUUGUUGUAAUUUUAAUUAGUUUUACUACUUUUGUGUUUUAACCUUCACAUUUGUUUUAUAAGCAAUUGAUCCACUACCUUUAUUGUAUAGUUACCUUUUCCAGUGAUAUUUUCACUCUUAUUUUCUUAGCAUUAAUUAGUACCAUUUCUUUUCUUUGAACACUAGAGUCCCUUUAACAUUUCUUGUAGGGUCAGUCUGAUGGUGAUGAAUUCCUUUAGUUUUUACUUAUCUGAGAAACUCUUCAUCUCUCCUUCAAUUAUAAGUGAUAAUCUUGUUAGGUAUAGAAUUCUUGAUUACAAGCUUUUUCCUUUUAACACUUUGAAUAUGACA
This 3122-nucleotide long non-coding RNA is filed under the name Sus scrofa (pig). Its description in RNAcentral is "lncRNA (ENSSSCG00060047788.1)". The record is from RNAcentral. Lineage: Eukaryota; Metazoa; Chordata; Mammalia; Artiodactyla; Suidae.